UUAAGCGACUAAGCGUACACGGUGGAUGCCCUGGCAGUCAGAGGCGAUGAAGGACGUGCUAAUCUGCGAUAAGCGUCGGUAAGGUGAUAUGAACCGUUAUAACCGGCGAUUUCCGAAUGGGGAAACCCAGUGUGUUUCGACACACUAUCAUUAACUGAAUCCAUAGGUUAAUGAGGCGAACCGGGGGAACUGAAACAUCUAAGUACCCCGAGGAAAAGAAAUCAACCGAGAUUCCCCCAGUAGCGGCGAGCGAACGGGGAGCAGCCCAGAGCCUGAAUCAGUGUGUGUGUUAGUGGAAGCGUCUGGAAAGGCGCGCGAUACAGGGUGACAGCCCCGUACACAAAAAUGCACAUGCUGUGAGCUCGAUGAGUAGGGCGGGACACGUGGUAUCCUGUCUGAAUAUGGGGGGACCAUCCUCCAAGGCUAAAUACUCCUGACUGACCGAUAGUGAACCAGUACCGUGAGGGAAAGGCGAAAAGAACCCCGGCGAGGGGAGUGAAAAAGAACCUGAAACCGUGUACGUACAAGCAGUGGGAGCACGCUUAGGCGUGUGACUGCGUACCUUUUGUAUAAUGGGUCAGCGACUUAUAUUCUGUAGCAAGGUUAACCGAAUAGGGGAGCCGAAGGGAAACCGAGUCUUAACUGGGCGUUAAGUUGCAGGGUAUAGACCCGAAACCCGGUGAUCUAGCCAUGGGCAGGUUGAAGGUUGGGUAACACUAACUGGAGGACCGAACCGACUAAUGUUGAAAAAUUAGCGGAUGACUUGUGGCUGGGGGUGAAAGGCCAAUCAAACCGGGAGAUAGCUGGUUCUCCCCGAAAGCUAUUUAGGUAGCGCCUCGUGAAUUCAUCUCCGGGGGUAGAGCACUGUUUCGGCAAGGGGGUCAUCCCGACUUACCAACCCGAUGCAAACUGCGAAUACCGGAGAAUGUUAUCACGGGAGACACACGGCGGGUGCUAACGUCCGUCGUGAAGAGGGAAACAACCCAGACCGCCAGCUAAGGUCCCAAAGUCAUGGUUAAGUGGGAAACGAUGUGGGAAGGCCCAGACAGCCAGGAUGUUGGCUUAGAAGCAGCCAUCAUUUAAAGAAAGCGUAAUAGCUCACUGGUCGAGUCGGCCUGCGCGGAAGAUGUAACGGGGCUAAACCAUGCACCGAAGCUGCGGCAGCGACGCUUAUGCGUUGUUGGGUAGGGGAGCGUUCUGUAAGCCUGUGAAGGUGUACUGUGAGGUAUGCUGGAGGUAUCAGAAGUGCGAAUGCUGACAUAAGUAACGAUAAAGCGGGUGAAAAGCCCGCUCGCCGGAAGACCAAGGGUUCCUGUCCAACGUUAAUCGGGGCAGGGUGAGUCGACCCCUAAGGCGAGGCCGAAAGGCGUAGUCGAUGGGAAACAGGUUAAUAUUCCUGUACUUGGUGUUACUGCGAAGGGGGGACGGAGAAGGCUAUGUUGGCCGGGCGACGGUUGUCCCGGUUUAAGCGUGUAGGCUGGUUUUCCAGGCAAAUCCGGAAAAUCAAGGCUGAGGCGUGAUGACGAGGCACUACGGUGCUGAAGCAACAAAUGCCCUGCUUCCAGGAAAAGCCUCUAAGCAUCAGGUAACAUCAAAUCGUACCCCAAACCGACACAGGUGGUCAGGUAGAGAAUACCAAGGCGCUUGAGAGAACUCGGGUGAAGGAACUAGGCAAAAUGGUGCCGUAACUUCGGGAGAAGGCACGCUGAUAUGUAGGUAAAGCGACUUGCUCGUGGAGCUGAAAUCAGUCGAAGAUACCAGCUGGCUGCAACUGUUUAUUAAAAACACAGCACUGUGCAAACACGAAAGUGGACGUAUACGGUGUGACGCCUGCCCGGUGCCGGAAGGUUAAUUGAUGGGGUUAGCGGUAACGCGAAGCUCUUGAUCGAAGCCCCGGUAAACGGCGGCCGUAACUAUAACGGUCCUAAGGUAGCGAAAUUCCUUGUCGGGUAAGUUCCGACCUGCACGAAUGGCGUAAUGAUGGCCAGGCUGUCUCCACCCGAGACUCAGUGAAAUUGAACUCGCUGUGAAGAUGCAGUGUACCCGCGGCAAGACGGAAAGACCCCGUGAACCUUUACUAUAGCUUGACACUGAACAUUGAGCCUUGAUGUGUAGGAUAGGUGGGAGGCUUUGAAGUGUGGACGCCAGUCUGCAUGGAGCCGACCUUGAAAUACCACCCUUUAAUGUUUGAUGUUCUAACGUUGACCCGUAAUCCGGGUUGCGGACAGUGUCUGGUGGGUAGUUUGACUGGGGCGGUCUCCUCCUAAAGAGUAACGGAGGAGCACGAAGGUUGGCUAAUCCUGGUCGGACAUCAGGAGGUUAGUGCAAUGGCAUAAGCCAGCUUGACUGCGAGCGUGACGGCGCGAGCAGGUGCGAAAGCAGGUCAUAGUGAUCCGGUGGUUCUGAAUGGAAGGGCCAUCGCUCAACGGAUAAAAGGUACUCCGGGGAUAACAGGCUGAUACCGCCCAAGAGUUCAUAUCGACGGCGGUGUUUGGCACCUCGAUGUCGGCUCAUCACAUCCUGGGGCUGAAGUAGGUCCCAAGGGUAUGGCUGUUCGCCAUUUAAAGUGGUACGCGAGCUGGGUUUAGAACGUCGUGAGACAGUUCGGUCCCUAUCUGCCGUGGGCGCUGGAGAACUGAGGGGGGCUGCUCCUAGUACGAGAGGACCGGAGUGGACGCAUCACUGGUGUUCGGGUUGUCAUGCCAAUGGCACUGCCCGGUAGCUAAAUGCGGAAGAGAUAAGUGCUGAAAGCAUCUAAGCACGAAACUUGCCCCGAGAUGAGUUCUCCCUGACUCCUUGAGAGUCCUGAAGGAACGUUGAAGACGACGACGUUGAUAGGCCGGGUGUGUAAGCGCAGCGAUGCGUUGAGCUAACCGGUACUAAUGAACCGUGAGGCUUAACCUU
Molecule: ribosomal RNA, 2904 nt
Filed under: Escherichia coli
Lineage: Bacteria; Pseudomonadati; Pseudomonadota; Gammaproteobacteria; Enterobacterales; Enterobacteriaceae
Description: 23S ribosomal RNA
Rfam family: Bacterial large subunit ribosomal RNA
Source: RNAcentral